RNAcentral lists this ribosomal RNA (343 nucleotides) under uncultured Geobacillus sp. Its description in RNAcentral is "bacterial SSU rRNA". It matches the Rfam family "Bacterial small subunit ribosomal RNA", at positions 1036 to 1382 of the family's 1533-position model. Lineage: Bacteria; Bacillati; Bacillota; Bacilli; Caryophanales; Anoxybacillaceae. The record is from RNAcentral.
AGGUGGUGCAUGGUUGUCGUCAGCUCGUGUCGUGAGAUGUUGGGUUAAGUCCCGCAACGAGCGCAACCCUCGCCUCUAGUUGCCAGCAUUCGGUUGGGCACUCUAGAGGGACUGCCGGCGACAAGUCGGAGGAAGUGGGAUGACGUCAAAUCAUCAUGCCCCUUAUGACCUGGGCUACACACGUGCUACAAUGGGCGGUACAAAGGGCUGCGAACCCGCGAGGGGGAGCGAAUCCCAAAAAGCCGCUCUCAGUUCGGAUUGCAGGCUGCAACUCGCCUGCAUGAAGUCGGAAUCGCUAGUAAUCGCAGGUCAGCAUACUGCGGUGAAUACGUUCCCGGGCCUU